GUGGCUGUAGCUCAAUGGUAGAGCACUGGACUGUGACUCCAGGGGUUGGGGGUUCGAUGCCCCUCAGCCACCCCA
Molecule: transfer RNA, 75 nt
Filed under: Deltaproteobacteria bacterium
Lineage: Bacteria; Pseudomonadati; Myxococcota; Myxococcia
Also listed under: 1 other name
Description: tRNA-His
Rfam family: tRNA
About the family: Transfer RNA (tRNA) molecules are approximately 80 nucleotides in length. Their secondary structure includes four short double-helical elements and three loops (D, anti-codon, and T loops).
Source: RNAcentral